Molecule: ribosomal RNA, 473 nt
Filed under: uncultured bacterium
Lineage: Bacteria
Description: bacterial SSU rRNA
Rfam family: Bacterial small subunit ribosomal RNA
Source: RNAcentral
ACUCCUACGGGAGGCAGCAGUAGGGAAUCUUCCGCAAUGGACGCAAGUCUGACGGAGCAACGCCGCGUGAGUGAAGAAGGUCUUCGGAUCGUAAAGCUCUGUUGUUAGAGAAGAACAGCGCAUAGAGUAACUGUUAUGCGUGUGACGGUAUCUAACCAGAAAGCCACGGCUAACUACGUGCCAGCAGCCGCGGUAAUACGUAGGUGGCGAGCGUUGUCCGGAUUUAUUGGGCGUAAAGGGAGUGUAGGCGGUCUUUUAAGUCUGAUGUGAAAGCCCACGGCUCAACCGUGGAGGGUCAUUGGAAACUGGGAGACUUGAGUGCAGAAGAGGAGAGCGGAAUUCCAUGUGUAGCGGUGAAAUGCGUAGAUAUAUGGAGGAACACCAGUGGCGAAGGCGGCUCUCUGGUCUGUAACUGACGCUGAGGCUCGAAAGCGUGGGGAGCAAACAGGAUUAGAUACCCUGGUAGGCGUAGU